Molecule: ribosomal RNA, 490 nt
Filed under: uncultured bacterium
Lineage: Bacteria
Description: partial 16S ribosomal RNA
Rfam family: Bacterial small subunit ribosomal RNA
Source: RNAcentral
AUUGAACGCUGGCGGCAGGCCUAACACAUGCCAGUCGAACGGUAACAGGAAGAUGCUUGCUUCUUUGCUGACGAGUGGCGGACGGGUGAGUAAUGUCUGGCAAACUGCCUGAUGGAGGGGGAUAACUACUGGAAACGGUAGCUAAUACCGCAUAACGUCGCAAGACCAAAGAGGGGGACCUUCGGGCCUCUUGCCAUCGGAUGUGCCCAGAUGGGAUUAGCUAGUGGGUGGGGUAACGGCUCACCUAGGCGACGAUCCCUAGCUGGUCUGAGAGGAUGACCGGCCACACGGGAAGUGAGCCAGGGUCCAGACGCCUGCGGGAGGCAGCAGUGUGGAAUGUUGCGCAACGGGCGCGAGCCUGAUGCAGCCAUGCCGCGUGUAUGAAGAAGGCCUUCGGGUUGUAAAGUACUUUCAGCGGGGAGGAAGGGAGUAAAGUUAAUACCUUUGCUCAUUGACGUUACCCGCAGAAGAAGCACCGGCUAACUCCGUG